CCGUGGGCAUCUGGUCCACCAUAUCUUUUUUCAUGGCUUAAUCCUCAAAUAUCAGCUCAGGACAUGAUGCAUCCGGAGUUGCUGGCUAAGCUUGUUUCAAACAACUUUUGUACAGUGCCUGCAAAGGUUGUUCUGCAACUUACAACCGCUUUCAGGGAAGGUGGGCUGUGCAACCGAAAUGGAACCUUCUCAUACAAGGAUCAUUUGCGAGAGUGUCAGACUCCUGUCCUUGCAUUGGCUGGAGAUAAAGACCUAAUCUGCCCUCCAGAUGCUGUUUAUGAAACUGUGAAACUCAUUCCGAAUCACAAGGUGGACUAUAGAGUGUUUGGAAAGCCACAAGGCCCACAUUAUGCACAUUAUGACUUGGUUGGAGGCCGACUGGUAUGUACUCUGUACGAUGAUUCCUAGCAUGAGGAGUUCAUAUUGAAUUUGACACUAGCGGACAGCUCGACAACGGUGAAAUAGUCGACAGGAACACGCCUGUGCUGAUCGAUGCCCUGAGCUCAGACGGUUCUGCCUGCAAGAAGCUGGAGUCAUCCACGACAGCCCCGUUCGCAGGUCUGGUUCGUCGUCGGACUCUGACUC
Zea mays is the source of this 585-nucleotide long non-coding RNA. RefSeq lists it as uncharacterized. The transcript has 4 exons. NCBI's taxonomy places the organism in Eukaryota, Viridiplantae, Streptophyta, Magnoliopsida, Poales, Poaceae. The record is from RefSeq and is a predicted model, not a curated record.